CUAUUUGGUUUUGAACCUGUAAAAAUUGUACUAUGAUCUAUAUUGUAUAGUUAAAUAUUACAUAAUAUAAUUUAAUAUUACAUAUGCACUUUUUAUAUUUUGAUAUUUGGGUUUAGGGUUUAUAUUUGGAUUAGGGUUUAGUGAUUUGAGUUGAGGGUUUAGUAUUUAAAAGGUGAAGGGGUAUAGUUGGGGUCAGCAUUAACUUCUUCCAUGUAAUCAUAUACAUUUCAUAAUUUCACCAAUAUGUACUAUGUUAUUUAUUUUGUUUCAUUCUAUUUGGGUUUAGGAUUUAUAUUUGGGUUUAGGGUUUAUAUUUGGGUAAGGGUUUAAUGAUUAGAGUUUAGGGUCUAGUAUUUAGAAGGUGAGAGGGUAUGGUUGGGGUCAUCAUUAACUUCUUCUUGCGAUCAUAGAUAUUUCAUAAUUUCACCAAUAUGUACUAUGUUAUUUAUUUUAUUUUAUUAUGUUUGGAUUUAGGGUUUAUACUUUAUAUUUGGGUUUAGAUUUUAUAUUUUGGAUGGGUUUAGUGAUUAGAGUUUAGGGUUUAGUAUUUAAAAGGCGAGAGGGUAUGGUUAAGAUCAAGGUUAACUUCUUCCAUACAAUCAUGUGCAUUCCAUAAAUUCGGUAAUAUGUACUAUGUUAUUUGCUUUGUUCUAUUCUAUGUGGAUUUUGAAUUUAUAUUUGGGUUUAUGGUUUACAUUUGGAUAUAGAGUUUACUGAUUAGAUUUUAGUAUUUAGGGUUUGGGCUAAGAUUGAGAUAAAGUUUAGUAUCUAGGAUUGUGAAUCUGAUAUGUUUAGUAUUUAGGGCUUGUAAGUAGAGUUAUAAUCCUAUACUACAUCGGUGAUAUGGAAUAGAAUACUCGUGCAUAUGUAUGCGAUGAAUAAAAGUAUACGUGGGUGGUUCC
This 902-nucleotide long non-coding RNA is filed under the name Brassica napus (rape). RNAcentral's name for it is "long non-coding RNA (BNAP_LNC007334)". Lineage: Eukaryota; Viridiplantae; Streptophyta; Magnoliopsida; Brassicales; Brassicaceae. The record is from RNAcentral.